Molecule: long non-coding RNA, 930 nt
Organism: Bombus impatiens (common eastern bumble bee)
Lineage: Eukaryota; Metazoa; Arthropoda; Insecta; Hymenoptera; Apidae
Exons: 2
Source: RefSeq, a predicted model, not a curated record
GUAUUCCAAUUCUGUAAUAUAAUUUAUCAUUUGAUAAGUAAUACAAUUUAUGGAUGUAAAUUUCCUUACUAAUAUUAUUUUAAGUAAGAGAACAUUUUUGACGCUUGUUACAUGCACGUGUAUAUCGUCAAAAAAUGUAUUCGUCGCAAUGUUACUUUAUCAAGAGCGAAGACCAGAGGAAAAAGAGAAAAGACGAAUAAGAAAUCACCUUUAGCAUAACAUGGGGAGGCUGGGUUCAAUGGAAUGCCGAUCUAGUAAGAGGCGUGGUAUGUGGCCGUCACAUACCAAACAACCGUGCUUUUAUUUUUUGUGCAGAUUCUUUAGGUUAAACCUAAUCAUACUUGCAUUUUUAGCCGAUAAUUAAAGAAAUCACGCUUUCUAACAGAAUAUUAGCACGAAAGGUAAAGUGAAAGAUUUACUUAAAAUUUGAGUAUUGCAUAUAGCUUGUCUUUUAUUUAAUACUUAUGAAACAACAAAAGUCUUUGCUUUUUUUAAAUUAUAAAAUCUUUGCAAUUUUGUAGCAAAAAUAAUGCGACAGAAAAUAAGAGGAUUAAUUAAAAAUCCAACCGGUUUUGCAAAAAACCUUUAUCAGAUACUGGUUUAAACACGGAACCCUUUCGCGCUACGAAAAGAAAAAAAAAGGAUACAGAGUUUUGUAUAGUGAGUCAUUCGUAGGUGUGUCUUGGAUUAAUCCGCAGCACCUGUGCUAGAAUAUAUUUCUAGAGCUGGAACCUUCACAUGAUACAAUGCAGGGGUUUCUGAAAAUUUUGCUAGAGUUAACAGAUCAAUGUUCCAAAAGAGUGAACAUGUUGCACCCCACGUUUCUUGAACAGACUAUUUCCGUGAGUAAAGUUGGGGAAGAAUGAAUCGUAAUGAGUAGGGUGCUCAUUGUCUAUCCUGAUUUGUCGCUUUGUUGACCAGAAUGCUAUA